AUACGGAGGAUCCGAGCGUUAUCCGGAUUUAUUGGGUUUAAAGGGAGCGUAGGCGGACGCUUAAGUCAGUUGUGAAAGUUUGCGGCUCAACCGUAAAAUUGCAGUUGAUACUGGGUGUCUUGAGUACAGUAGAGGCAGGCGGAAUUCGGGGGGUAGCGGUGAAAUGCUUAGAUAUCACGAAGAACUCCGAUUGCGAAGGCAGCCUGCUGGACUGUAACUGACGCUGAUGCUCGAAAGUGUGUGUAUCAAACAGGAUUAGAUACCCUGGUAGUCCACACAGUAAACGAUGAAUACUCGCUGUUUGCGAUAUACAGUAAGCGGCCAAGCGAAAGCGUUAAGUAUUCCACCUGGGGAGUACGCCGGCAACGGUGAAACUCAAAUGAAUUGACGGGG
RNAcentral lists this ribosomal RNA (393 nucleotides) under uncultured bacterium. RNAcentral's name for it is "partial 16S ribosomal RNA". It matches the Rfam family "Bacterial small subunit ribosomal RNA", at positions 523 to 918 of the family's 1533-position model. The record is from RNAcentral.